UUUUUUUUUUUUUUGUGUUGUUUUGUUUCUGUUUCAUUUUUCCUAAUUCGUAUUUUAUUUAGGAUUAUACACAUUUUUUGUGCUACAUGGACAUCACCUGAAGGGAGAAUACCUUUCGCAAUGUGCAGUCAAUCAAGACGAAGGGAGAUGCUGAUUCAGUCGAAUACCACCAAGCAGAUUAUCUGUGAAUGGCUAUGAAAGGAGUGAUGCGGUAAAGGAAAAAUUUUCGCGAGAGCUAUUUUAAACAUCAAUUUGGAUUCUAGGAAAGCCCCAUGGCCGAUUAAAGAUGAACGUUUCUGAAGAAAUGCGCAUCCCAACCUUCUCUGCUUUGUGGUAACGCUAUGACCCAACACGGGCUUUUUAUUUGUCAACCGAAAACUGGUUCAUAGAAAGGAAGAAUGCCAAAGCCAGGCAUGCACUUCAAUUUAAAAAAAUAAAACGUUAUUUUUCUGGAAAGCACCAUGUUAAACUUGAUGAACAUAUAGGACAGUUCCUGCUUUUGGCUGGGCAUACGACUAUUGGCCAUGUUAUAAGAAUCGUGAGAAAUCUCAGUAGUUUUACUGCGAGAGUGGCAGUACUUUUCAAAACACAAUGGGUUCUCAGCAGGAUCUACUUGACUUCGACUGUUAAAACAUUUUGUUGCUCUAGCGAAACCAAACAUGUCCCCCAAUAGGGAUUCUAUCAAAAGUCUGUCUCCAACUUUUUCCUGGGAAUUCUCCUAACAGAUGGAGUUUUGGAUUUCGAAAGCGUCUGCUCUAAAACCUUAGGUCGCGCCUAUUGCCCCUGAACUUUUGAGGGGCAAUAGACUUUUUUAUAAAAAAAUCCAUUGUUGGAGCAGCAGAACUAAAAAAUUUUGUUUUCUGAGUAUUUUUACACCUUGUGUUCCUCUCAAAUUUUCCUUAAUGUGAUUCCACAUUUGUGACUUGAAGAACAAAACAAAAAGUCUGUGUUCCUGACCCCAGAGCUGUAGGAUUCUGGACACAUGGAUGCAUGAGCUGUAAGAAAACUUAAGGUUCCUUAAGUCCACCCGAUUCAUUUUUCUUCCCCCCUGUCAUUAAGAAGAAAAGACAAACAUGACUUGAAAAUGUUUGCAGCAUAGUUAUUACAGUCUUAUUAAACUAACCAACAUGAGGAACCUUAAGUUUCAAAUCUGUGUAACCAGAAUGGUGUACGUGUUUUGUCAUGUCUUGUCAAUGUCUUACAUUUGGCAUCUUUUACACUCAUUCCCUAGAAAAAAUGUAAUGUAAGUAACGCAGAUGAUUGAUAUUUAUGGAAUGUUAGUAUAGCAUAUAUUCACCUGUCAGGCAUUCUGUACUGCAAAGGUGUCAGGGAAGAAUCACAGUUGUUCAAAUUUUGUGAUACAGUUAAAUGUAGGUUCAUUGUUGUUUUUGCUGAGGGCUCUCAAUCCCGAAAUUAAAAUUUUAAUCGAUAAGAUUUAAAUUAUUGAAAAGACAGUACAGAAUGAUGGUUGCAGACUGCGGAAACGCAUAAGGUUUCGGAAAAGUCUAAUAAGGGCAAUAGCAAAAAAGUCCUUUUUUUAUUGCAAACGACCUUUUUUUAUUUUCAUUCGGAAUCCAGAGGAUUGGUUUUUGCAAAUCAGGCUUAGUAAAAACUUUGCCUUGUAGCUAGUACGUGUCUACGUGAUGAACCCAAGAAUUAUCCAUCAGCGUAAGAAAUGUUACACCUGGUAAAAACAACUACAAGAAUGGAAAAUAACUUUAUAGACAAUGGUUAACACCAAGUAUGAAGAAAGUAUUCUUCUUCUCACCAUAGGUCAGCUGUGCUUGCCUUCUUGGUUACAAUGAAGAAGAAUCAUUAGUAUCGAAUUUUUUAACAGAUGAGUUCGUAUUGUGUGUUCCUGUUGAUAUCUCUCUUAAUGUGAUGAAGUAUGAGUAGAUCUUUCUUGAAUUCGUGAGUAGGCGUGAGAGAUUUGGAGAAACAGCCUAUUAAUCGUCCCUAAAAACGGGUCCGGAGGAUCUUCUGUUAAUAUAUCCCAAAUGAUUACCUGCGUUUGGCCAGCGUGAAAAUUGUACAACAUUUUUACAGCUGAUUCUUUCCAAACACUUGAACAGUAUGGAUGUGUGACAGAGGAUGCAUGCAAAAAAUGCCAAACGUAGGCUGCGUGGACGAGAUGAAGGCCUGGCAGAAUAUGUGUGGUGAUUUCAAGUGAGUAAUAUCUGCCCUGCAAAACAACUUGUUGGUCUUACAAGAUUAUGAAGUUCUUGUAAGAUCUAAAUUUCCUGUACGAUUUGACUGUAAUAAAUUCCACCUUUUGAAAUGA
This is a long non-coding RNA of Daphnia magna, 2281 nucleotides long. RefSeq lists it as uncharacterized. The record is from RefSeq and is a predicted model, not a curated record. The transcript is spliced from 4 exons. Lineage: Eukaryota; Metazoa; Arthropoda; Branchiopoda; Diplostraca; Daphniidae.